RNAcentral lists this ribosomal RNA (520 nucleotides) under uncultured bacterium. Its description in RNAcentral is "partial 16S ribosomal RNA". It matches the Rfam family "Bacterial small subunit ribosomal RNA", at positions 28 to 507 of the family's 1533-position model. The record is from RNAcentral.
GACGAACGCUGGCGGCGUGCCUAAUACAUGCAAGUCGAACGCACUCUCGUUUAGAUUGAAGGAGUUUGCUCCUGAUUGAUAAACAUUUGAGUGAGUGGCGGACGGGUGAGUAACACGUGGGUAACCUGCCCUAAAGUGGGGGAUAACAUUUGGAAACAGAUGCUCAUACCGCAUAAAACCUAACACCGCAUGGUGUAGGGUUGAAAGAUGGUUUCGGCUAUCACUUUAGGAUGGACCCGCGGUGCAUUAGUUAGUUGGUGAGGUAAAGGCUCACCAAGACCGUGAUGCAUAGCCGACCUGAGAGGGUAAUCGGCCACACUGGGACUGAGACACGGCCCAGACUCCUACGGGAGGCAGCAGUAGGGAAUCUUCCACAAUGGACGAAAGUCUGAUGGAGCAACGCCGCGUGAGUGAAGAAGGUGUUCGGAUCGUAAAACUCUGUUGUUGGAGAAGAAUGUAUCUGAUAGUAACCGAUCAGGUAGUGACGGUAUCCAACCAGAAAGCCACGGCUAACUACGUG